This 459-nucleotide ribosomal RNA is filed under the name uncultured bacterium. Its description in RNAcentral is "partial 16S ribosomal RNA". It matches the Rfam family "Bacterial small subunit ribosomal RNA", at positions 338 to 795 of the family's 1533-position model. The record is from RNAcentral.
CCUACGGGAGGCAGCAGUGAGGAAUAUUGGUCAAUGGGAGAGAGCCUGAACCAGCCAAGCCGCGUGAGGGAAGACGGCCCUAUGGGUUGUAAACCUCUUUUGUCGGAGAAUAAAACCCGGGACGUGUCCCGGACUGCGUGUAUCCGAAGAAAAAGCAUCGGCUAACUCCGUGCCAGCAGCCGCGGUAAUACGGAGGAUGCGAGCGUUAUCCGGAUUUAUUGGGUUUAAAGGGUGCGUAGGCGGUCCGUUAAGUCAGCGGUAAAAUUGCGGGGCUCAACCGCGUCGGGCCGUUGAAACUGGCAGACUUGAGUUGGCGAGAGGUACGCGGAAUGCGCGGUGUAGCGGUGAAAUGCAUAGAUAUCGCGCAGAACUCCGAUUGCGAAGGCAGCGUACCGGAGCCAGACUGACGCUGAUGCACGAAAGCGUGGGGAUCGAACAGGAUUAGAUACCCUUGUAGUC